CGAACGCUGGCGGCGUGCCUAAUACAUGCAAGUCGAGCGAAGUUUUUCUGGUGCUUGCACCGGAAAAACUUAGCGGCGAACGGGUGAGUAACACGUAAAGAACCUGCCUCAUAGACUGGGACAACUAUUGGAAACGAUAGCUAAUACCGGAUAAUAGCAUUAACUGCAUGGUUGAUGUUUAAAAGUUGGUUUUGCUAACACUAUGAGAUGGCUUUGCGGUGCAUUAGCUAGUUGGUGGGGUAAAGGCCUACCAAGGCGACGAUGCAUAGCCGACCUGAGAGGGUGAUCGGCCACACUGGGACUGAGACACGGCCCAGACUCCUACGGGAGGCAGCAGUAGGGAAUCUUCCGCAAUGGGCGAAAGCCUGACGGAGCAACGCCGCGUGAGUGAAGAAGGAUUUCGGUUCGUAAAGCUCUGUUGUUAGGGAAGAAUGAUUGUGUAGUAACUAUACACAGUAGAGACGAUACCUAACCAGAAAGCCACGGCUAACUACGUG
Molecule: ribosomal RNA, 497 nt
Filed under: uncultured bacterium
Lineage: Bacteria
Description: partial 16S ribosomal RNA
Rfam family: Bacterial small subunit ribosomal RNA
Source: RNAcentral